UACGUAGGUGGCAAGCGUUGUCCGGAAUUAUUGGGCGUAAAGCGCGCGCAGGUGGUUCCUUAAGUCUGAUGUGAAAGCCCACGGCUCAACCGUGGAAGGUCAUUGGAAACUGGGGAACUUGAGUGCAGAAGAGGAAAGUGGAAUUCCAAGUGUAGCGGUGAAAUGCGUAGAUAUUUGGAGGAACACCAGUGGCGAAGGCGGCGCGCUGGACCACUACUGACGCUGAGGAACGAAAGCUAGGGGAGCAAACAGG
Molecule: ribosomal RNA, 253 nt
Filed under: uncultured bacterium
Lineage: Bacteria
Description: partial 16S ribosomal RNA
Rfam family: Bacterial small subunit ribosomal RNA
Source: RNAcentral